AGUCAACAUAACCAGAGGACGUGGAUAAACUCGGGAAACUGAGGCUAAACCGCGAUAGACCAAGAUACCUGGAAUGGUUUUUGAUCAAAAUCUAUAUGGCCUUUGGAUUGGACUGCGACCGAUCAGGCUGUUGGUGAGGUGAUGGCCCACCAAACCAGUAACCGGUACGGGCUCUGAGAGGAGGAGCCCGGAGAUGGGUACUGAGAAAAGGACCCAGGCCCUAUGGGGCGCAGCAGGCGCGAAACCUCUGCAAUAGGCGAAAGCCUGACAGGGUUAUUCUGAGUGACUUUCGCUAAGAAAGUCUUUUGACAUCUCUAAAAAUGGUGUAGAAUAAGGGGUGGGCAAGUCUGGUGUCAGCCGCCGCGGUAAUACCAGCACCCCGAGUGGUCGGGACGAUUAUUGGGCCUAAAGCAUCCGUAGCCGGUUUUACAAGUCCUCCGUUAAAUCCAACUGCUUAACAGAUGGGCCGCGGAGGAUACUAUAAGACUAGGAGGCAGGAGAGGCAAGCGGUACUCAGUGGGUAGGGGUAAAAUCCGUUGAUCCAUUGAAGACCACCAGUGGCGAAGGCGGCUUGCCAGAAUGCGCUCGACGGUGAGGGAUGAAAGCUGGGGG
Molecule: ribosomal RNA, 612 nt
Filed under: uncultured archaeon
Lineage: Archaea
Description: bacterial SSU rRNA
Rfam family: Archaeal small subunit ribosomal RNA
Source: RNAcentral